RNAcentral lists this ribosomal RNA (1521 nucleotides) under Candidatus Phytoplasma citri. Its description in RNAcentral is "Candidatus Phytoplasma aurantifolia 16S ribosomal RNA". It matches the Rfam family "Bacterial small subunit ribosomal RNA". The record is from RNAcentral. Lineage: Bacteria; Bacillati; Mycoplasmatota; Mollicutes; Acholeplasmatales; Acholeplasmataceae.
GUUUGAUCCUGGCUCAGGAUUAACGCUGGCGGCGUGCCUAAUACAUGCAAGUCGAACGGAAACCUUCGGGUUUUAGUGGCGAACGGGUGAGUAACACGUAAGCAACCUACCCUAAAGACGAGGAUAACCAUUGGAAACAGUGGCUAAGACUGGAUAGGAAGAAAUAAGGCAUCUUUUUUCUUUUAAAAGACCUAGUGAUAGGUAUACUUUAGGAGGGGCUUGCGCCAUAUUAGUUAGUUGGUAGGGUAAUGGCCUACCAAGACGAUGAUGUGUAGCUGGACUGAGAGGUUGAACAGCCACAUUGGGACUGAGACACGGCCCAAACUCCUACGGGAGGCAGCAGUAGGGAAUUUUCGGCAAUGGAGGAAACUCUGACCGAGCAACGCCGCGCGAACGACGAAGUACUUUGGUAUGUAAAGUUCUUUUAUCAAGGAAGAAAAGCAAGUGGUGAACCAUUUGUUUGCCGGUACUUGAUGAAUAAGCCCCGGCUAAUUAUGUGCCAGCAGCCGCGGUAAGACAUAAGGGGCAAGUGUUAUCCGGAAUUAUUGGGCGUAAAGGGUGCGUAGGCGGUCUAGUAAGUCAGUGGUGUAAUGGCAACGCUCAACGUUGUCCGGCUAUUGAAACUGCUAAACUUGAGUUAGAUAGAGGCGAGUGGAAUUCCAUGUGUAGCGGUAAAAUGCGUAAAUAUAUGGAGGAACACCAGAGGCGUAGGCGGCUCGCUGGGUCUUAACUGACGCUGAGGCACGAAAGCGUGGGGAGCAAACAGGAUUAGAUACCCUGGUAGUCCACGCCGUAAACGAUGAGUACUAAGUGUCGGGUUAAACCGGUACUGAAGUUAACACAUUAAGUACUCCGCCUGAGUAGUACGUACGCAAGUAUGAAACUUAAAGGAAUUGACGGGACUCCGCACAAGCGGUGGAUCAUGUUGUUUAAUUCGAAGAUACCCGAAAAACCUUACCAGGUCUUGACAUGUUUUUGCGAAACGGUAGUAAUAUCGUGGAGGUUAUCAGAAACACAGGUGGUGCAUGGUUGUCGUCAGCUCGUGUCGUGAGAUGUUAGGUUAAGUCCUAAAACGAGCGAAACCCUUAUCGUUAGUUGCCAGCACGUUAUGGUGGGGACUUUAACGAGACUGCCAGUGAUAAAUUGGAGGAAGGUGAGGAUCACGUCAAAUCAGCAUGCCCCUUAUGACCUGGGCUACAAACGUGAUACAAUGGCUGUUACAAAGGGUAGCUGAAACGCAAGUUCUUGGCCAAUCCCCAAAAACAGUCUCAGUCCGGAUUGAAGUCUGCAACUCGACUUCAUGAAGUUGGAAUCGCUAGUAAUCGCGAAUCAGCAUGUCGCGGUGAAUACGUUCUCGGGGUUUGUACACACCGCCCGUCAAACCACGAAAGUUGGCAAUACCCCAAAACGGUAGCCUAACUCGUUUAUCGAGAGGGCGCUGUCUAAGGUAGGGUCGAUGAUUGGGGUUAAGUCGUAACAAGGUAUCCCUACCGGAAGGUGGGGAUGGAUCACCUCCUUUCU